This 2403-nucleotide ribosomal RNA is filed under the name Triticum aestivum (bread wheat). Its description in RNAcentral is "partial small subunit ribosomal RNA". The record is from RNAcentral. Lineage: Eukaryota; Viridiplantae; Streptophyta; Magnoliopsida; Poales; Poaceae.
AUGACAGAAGAGGAUAUUCAAAAAACUGCAUUCGCUACUCACGUGGGAUUGUUUGAGUUUUUUGUUAUGUCCUUUGGACUAACUAAUGGUCCUCCCUCGUUCCAAGCACUAAUGAAUUUACUGUUUGGCCAUCUCAAAUUUGUGGUAGUUUUCUUUGAUGACAUACUGGUGUUCAAUUUUUCAUUAAAGGAACACAAGGACCAUUUGAAGCAGGUGUUUGAUAUUUUAAAAGCAAACAAACUAUAUGCAAAAAUGGAAAAAUGCUCUUUUGGUCAGCAAGAGAUUGAGUACUUAGGUCAUGUGAUUAACUCUGAGGGAGUUUCUACUGACCCAUCUAAGAUACAGUCCAUUAGAAAGUGGCCAACUCCUACUACUGUCACUGAACUAAGGAGUUUUUUGGGGCUAAGUGGAUAUUACAGAAGGUUUAUCCAGGGAUAUGGAGUAAUUUGCAGACCCUUGUUUGACUGCUUGAAGAAGGAUGGUUUUUCUUCGAAGAAAGAGCAACAAGAAGCAUUUGUGACCUUGAAAAACAAGCUUACUAGCACACCUGUGUUAGCACUGCCUGAUUUCUCCAAACCUUUUAUUUUGGAAACUGAUGCUUGUGGAUAUGGACUGGGAGCUGUGUUGAUGCAAGAGGGAAAGCCUAUUUCUUACUUCAGCAAGAGCAUUGGCCCCAAAGCAGCUGCAAUGAGCACUUAUGACAAGGAAGCCUUGGCCAUAAUUGAAGCAGUUAAGAAAUGGAAACAUUAUUUCUUAGCAACAUCCUUAGUGAUCAGAACUGAUCAGGAAAGUCUGAAAUAUAUUCAGGAACAGAAAAUUACACAAGGAAUUCAACAUAAGCUGCUGCUGAAGUUGCUAGGAUAUAAUUUUACAAUUGAGUACAAGAAAGGCAAAGAGAAUAGGGUGGCUGAUGCAUUAUCUAGAGUGAAACAUAUGAUCCAUGCUCUAACUGCAAUUGCCACUUCUCCUACUUUGGUCAAGCAGGUCACAACAAGUUACCAUUUGGAUAAUAAGAUCAAGGAGCUCAUUGCUGAAUGUAUUGUGGACAAAUCUGGUACCUCUGCUUACUCCUUCAAAAAUGGCAUAUUGAGAUUUCAUAACAAGAUUGUAGUGGGAUCUGCUACUACUCUGACACAAGAAAUCCUUCAGAUAUUUCAUAGCUCAGAGUUGGGUGGCCAUUCUGGGGAGAGGGCUACAUACCAGAGAGUGAAGUUAAUUUUUCACUGGCAGGGUUUAAAACAAGAUGUAGUGCAGUUUGUAAAGCAAUGCCCUGUUUGUCAGUUGAACAAAGUUGAGCACACUCCUUAUCCUGGAUUAUUGGAAUCACUUCCUGUGCCUGAUUUUGCUUGGGCCCAUGUGAGCAUGGAUUUUGUGGAAGGGCUGCCUAAGUCUGAACACAAGAAUUUGAUUCUAGUAGUGGUUGACAGAUUCACCAAGUACUCCCACUUCAUUGCUAUGAAACAUCCAAUUACAGUACAAUCUGUUGCAAGAGCAUUUGCUGAUAAUGUGUUCAGGUUGCAUGGAAUGCCCCUAGUAAUUGUCACUGACAGAGACAGAAUUUUUACUAGUCAUCUUUGGCAACAACUGUUCAAGUCCUUGAAAAUCAAAUUGCAUUUGAGCACCAGUUACCACCCUCAAACUGAUGGUCAAACUGAAAGGGUCAACCAGUGUUUGGAGAAUUACUUGAGAUGCAUGUGUUUCCAACAACCCAGGAAGUGGCAUGGGUGGCUAUCCCUAGCUGAGUGGUGGUACAACACCUCCUUCCACACAUCACUUAAGAUGACUCCCUUUCAGGCCCUAUAUGGUUUUCCUCCCCCCAUGAUUGCUGAAUCUGCCUUGCCUGAUGCAAUUUGUGAGGACAAUGAGGAUCUAUUGCAUAACAGAGAAGUGGCACUGGAGGUGAUCAAGCACAAUCUGAUAAAAGCUCAAUCUAGAAUGAAGUUCUUUGCAGAUAAAAAGAGGAAAGAAAGAGAAUUUGUAGUGGGGGACAUGGUCUAUUUGAAGCUGCAACCCUACAGACAUAAUUCUCUCAGCCUGCAUAGGCACAUGAAGUUGCAUUCUAAGUUCUAUGGCCCUUUCAGAGUAAUGGAAAGAAUUGGAAAUCAUGCUUAUAAAUUACUCUUGCCUGAGGGUUGUCAGCUGCAUGACACAUUUCAUGUCAGCCAUCUUAAAAAGCACAUAGGACCAGCAGUUGUCCCUUCCCCUAUACUACCACUAGUUGGUCCUGAUGGAAUCAUCAAGGUGGAGCCUGAAGUUGUGCUGGAAAGAACCCUGGUUCCAAGGAAGCAAGGAAACAUAAGUAUUCCUGUCGUUCGGUGGCUAGUCAAAUGGACCAACAUGCCUGUGGAAGAAGCUACUUGGGAAGACUCUGCAUUCAUUCAGAAGGUUUUUCCCGUCUUUUAG